RNAcentral lists this ribosomal RNA (472 nucleotides) under Salmonella enterica. RNAcentral's name for it is "partial 23S ribosomal RNA". It matches the Rfam family "Bacterial large subunit ribosomal RNA", at positions 711 to 1180 of the family's 2925-position model. Lineage: Bacteria; Pseudomonadati; Pseudomonadota; Gammaproteobacteria; Enterobacterales; Enterobacteriaceae. The record is from RNAcentral. RNAcentral also lists the same sequence under 3 other names.
AGACCCGAAACCCGGUGAUCUAGCCAUGGGCAGGUUGAAGGUUGGGUAACACUAACUGGAGGACCGAACCGACUAAUGUUGAAAAAUUAGCGGAUGACCUGUGGCUGGGGGUGAAAGGCCAAUCAAACCGGGAGAUAGCUGGUUCUCCCCGAAAGCUAUUUAGGUAGCGCCUCGUGAAUUCAUCUCCGGGGGUAGAGCACUGUUUCGGCUAGGGGGCCAUCCCGGCUUACCAACCCGAUGCAAACUGCGAAUACCGGAGAAUGUUAUCACGGGAGACACACGGCGGGUGCUAACGUCCGUCGUGAAGAGGGAAACAACCCAGACCGCCAGCUAAGGUCCCAAAGUCAUGGUUAAGUGGGAAACGAUGUGGGAAGGCCCAGACAGCCAGGAUGUUGGCUUAGAAGCAGCCAUCAUUUAAAGAAAGCGUAAUAGCUCACUGGUCGAGUCGGCCUGCGCGGAAGAUGUAACGGGG